This 59-nucleotide transfer RNA is filed under the name Streptococcus agalactiae. Its description in RNAcentral is "tRNA-Asn". It matches the Rfam family "tRNA", at positions 8 to 63 of the family's 71-position model. Rfam says of the family: Transfer RNA (tRNA) molecules are approximately 80 nucleotides in length. The record is from RNAcentral. Lineage: Bacteria; Bacillati; Bacillota; Bacilli; Lactobacillales; Streptococcaceae.
UAGCUCAGUUGGUAGUAGCGCAUGACUGUUAAUCAUGAUGUCGUAGGUUCGAGUCCUAC